AACGAACGCUGGCGGCAGGCUUAACACAUACAAGUCGAGCGCCCCGCAAGGGGAGCGGCAGACGGGUGAGUAACACGUGGGAAUCUACCCAUCCCUGCGGAACAACUCCGGGAAACUGGAGCUAAUACCGCAUACGCCCUACGGGGGAAAGAUUUAUCGGGGAUGGAUGAGCCCGCGUUGGAUUAGCUAGUUGGUGGGGU
RNAcentral lists this ribosomal RNA (200 nucleotides) under uncultured bacterium. Its description in RNAcentral is "partial 16S ribosomal RNA". It matches the Rfam family "Bacterial small subunit ribosomal RNA", at positions 29 to 258 of the family's 1533-position model. The record is from RNAcentral.